Molecule: ribosomal RNA, 253 nt
Filed under: uncultured bacterium
Lineage: Bacteria
Description: partial 16S ribosomal RNA
Rfam family: Bacterial small subunit ribosomal RNA
Source: RNAcentral
UACAUGGGGUGCAAACGUUGCUCGGAAUUAUUGGGCGUAAAGCGCGCGUAGGCGGUUACUCAAGUCGGAUGUGAAAUCCCCGGGCUCAACCUGGGAACUGCAUUUGUGACUGCAUCGCUGGAGUGCGGCAGAGGGGGAUGGAAUUCCGCGUGUAGCAGUGAAAUGCGUAGAUAUGCGGAGGAACACCGAUGGCGAAGGCAAUCCCCUGGGCCUGCACUGACGCUCAUGCACGAAAGCGUGGGGAGCAAACAGG